This 253-nucleotide ribosomal RNA is filed under the name uncultured bacterium. Its description in RNAcentral is "partial 16S ribosomal RNA". It matches the Rfam family "Bacterial small subunit ribosomal RNA", at positions 524 to 776 of the family's 1533-position model. The record is from RNAcentral.
UACGAACUGUGCAAACGUUAUUCGGAUUCACUGGGCUUAAAGGGUGCGUAGGCGGCUUGCCAAGUAGGGUGUGAAAGCCCCCGGCUUAACCGGGGAAUUGCGCCCUAAACUGGCGAGCUGGAGUGAGAUAGGGGUGUGUGGAACUUCCGGUGGAGCGGUGAAAUGUGUUGAUAUCGGAAGGAACGCCGGUGGCGAAAGCGACACACUGGGUCUCAACUGACGCUGAGGCACGAAAGCCAGGGGAGCAAACGGG